GACGAACGCUGGCGGCGUGCUUAACACAUGCAAGUCGAACGAUGAAGCUGGAGCUUGCUCCGGUGGAUUAGUGGCGAACGGGUGAGUAACACGUGAGCAAUCUGCCCUCGACUCUGGGAUAACUGCGGGAAACUGUAGCUAAUACCGGAUACGAGGCUCGAAGGCAUCUUCGGGUCUGGAAAGAAUUUCGGUCAAGGAUGAGCUCGCGGCCUAUCAGCUUGUUGGUGAGGUAAUGGCUCACCAAGGCGACGACGGGUAGCCGGCCUGAGAGGGUGGCCGGCCACACUGGGACUGAGACACGGCCCAGACUCCUACGGGAGGCAGCAGUGGGGAAUAUUGCACAAUGGGCGAAAGCCUGAUGCAGCAACGCCGCGUGAGGGAUGAAGGCCUUCGGGUUGUAAACCUCUUUUAGCAGGGAAGAAGCGAAAGUGACGGUACCUGCAGAAAAAGCACCGGCUAACUACGUGCCAGCCGCCGCAGUAA
RNAcentral lists this ribosomal RNA (483 nucleotides) under uncultured bacterium. RNAcentral's name for it is "partial 16S ribosomal RNA". It matches the Rfam family "Bacterial small subunit ribosomal RNA", at positions 28 to 523 of the family's 1533-position model. The record is from RNAcentral.